Dendrobium catenatum is the source of this 284-nucleotide long non-coding RNA. RefSeq lists it as uncharacterized. The record is from RefSeq and is a predicted model, not a curated record. Lineage: Eukaryota; Viridiplantae; Streptophyta; Magnoliopsida; Asparagales; Orchidaceae. The transcript has 2 exons.
CACAGUGAAGGAGAGCACUUUAGCAGUUUGGAAAUCAGUAGAAAAUAGACCAUAUUAUUGAGGAAAUUUUGUGAGAAGGAUUUGCUUCCAUGGCAAUAGAGAGUGUGCAAUACAGUUAAAUUCUAAGUGAGAGGGAAGUGAGAACACUGAAGGAAGAAUAAAGCUUAAAGAAAAGGAAAUCAAGAUAAAUUUGAUCAUAUGCAAAGAGAGAGUUUCGAGGUGACUUACAAUCGUAGAAGAGUUCGUAGUAAGGAAUUGGAGGAAAUAAUUCAUCAAGGAGGUAA